RNAcentral lists this ribosomal RNA (118 nucleotides) under Lepisosteus oculatus (spotted gar). Lineage: Eukaryota; Metazoa; Chordata; Actinopteri; Semionotiformes; Lepisosteidae. The record is from RNAcentral.
GCCAGCAGCCAUAUCGCCCUGUACCUCACAACUAGCAACCCACUGAAGCAAAGCAGGUGUGAGCCAGGUCAGUAGCUGGAUGAGAGACCCCUGGGGAAAGCUAAGGUUGCUGCUGGAA